GACGAACGCUGGCGGCGUGCCUAAUACAUGCAAGUCGAGCGGACAGACGCGGAUCUUGCUCCUCUGACGUUAGCGGCGGACGGGUGAGUAACAAGUGGAUAGCCUACCUCUAAGACUUGGAUAACUUCGGGAAACCGGAGUUCCUAAUGGAUGAUAUAUUGAACCGCUUGGUUCAAUAGUGAAAGACGGUUUUGCUGUCACUUAGAGAUGGAUCCGCGCCGUAUUAGCUAGUUGGUAAGGUAACGGCUUACCAAGGCGGCGAUGCGUAGCCGACCUGAGAGGGGGAUCGGCGACACUGGAGCUGAGACGCGAUCCAGACUCCUACGGGAGGCAGCAGUAGGGAAGCUUCCGCGAUGGGGGGAAGCCUGACGGAGCAGCGCCGCGUGAGUGAUGAAGGUCUUCGUAGCGUAAAACGCCGUUAUUGGUGAAGAACAAAUGUGUAAGUAACUAUGCAUGGCUUGACGGUAGCUAGUCAGAAAGCCACGGCUAACUACGUG
RNAcentral lists this ribosomal RNA (497 nucleotides) under uncultured bacterium. RNAcentral describes it as "partial 16S ribosomal RNA". It matches the Rfam family "Bacterial small subunit ribosomal RNA", at positions 28 to 507 of the family's 1533-position model. The record is from RNAcentral.